AUAUGCCUACAACAUAGCAUUAAUGCAUUGAAUCCCAUUAGAACUCUGCAGUUAAGUGUGCUCGAGCUAGAGUAGUACUAGGAUGGGUGACUGCUUGGGAAGUCCUAGUAUUUUACAUGCC
Molecule: non-coding RNA, 121 nt
Organism: Picea glauca (white spruce)
Lineage: Eukaryota; Viridiplantae; Streptophyta; Pinopsida; Pinales; Pinaceae
Source: Rfam